UACGAAGGGGGCUAGCGUUGCUCGGAAUGACUGGGCGUAAAGGGCGCGUAGGCGGAUGGCACAGUCAGAUGUGAAAUUCCCGGGCUUAACCUGGGGGCUGCAUUUGAUACGUGUUGUCUAGAGUGAGGAAGAGGGUUGUGGAAUUCCCAGUGUAGAGGUGAAAUUCGUAGAUAUUGGGAAGAACACCGGUGGCGAAGGCGGCAACCUGGUCCUUGACUGACGCUGAGGCGCGAAAGCGUGGGGGAGCAAACAGG
This 254-nucleotide ribosomal RNA is filed under the name uncultured bacterium. RNAcentral's name for it is "partial 16S ribosomal RNA". It matches the Rfam family "Bacterial small subunit ribosomal RNA", at positions 524 to 776 of the family's 1533-position model. The record is from RNAcentral.